ACUAUGCCUAGUCGUAAACUUUAACUUACCCCUCCAUUCGCCCGGGAACUACGAGCUAAGCUUAAAACCCAAAGGACUUGACGGUACCCCACAUCCCCCUAGAGGAGCCUGUCCUAUAAUCGAUAACCCCCGCUUAACCUCACCAUUUUUUGCUAAUCAGCCUGUAUACCUCCGUCGUCAGCUUACCACGUGAGCGUUAGUGAGCCUAAUGUUUUUCCAACUAUACGUCAGGUCAAGGUGCAACAUAUAAAAUGGAAAGAGAUGGGCUACACUUUCUAUAAUAGAAUAAACGAAAGACUUAAUGAAACCUAGUCAGAAGGUGGAUUUAGAAGUAAAGUGAAACUAGAGUGUUCACUUAAAUACGGCACUGGGGUGUGUACACACCGCCCGUCACCCUCCUCAGCUCUGCAUAAAAGUAUUUAACGCCUUUUUAGAGACUCAGAAGAGGCAAGUCCGUAACACGGUAAG
This 468-nucleotide ribosomal RNA is filed under the name Ameerega hahneli. RNAcentral describes it as "partial 12S ribosomal RNA". It matches the Rfam family "Bacterial small subunit ribosomal RNA", at positions 789 to 1500 of the family's 1533-position model. Lineage: Eukaryota; Metazoa; Chordata; Amphibia; Anura; Dendrobatidae. The record is from RNAcentral.